RNAcentral lists this long non-coding RNA (4227 nucleotides) under Pelobates cultripes (western spadefoot toad). Lineage: Eukaryota; Metazoa; Chordata; Amphibia; Anura; Pelobatidae. The record is from RNAcentral.
GACUGUAGAAUAUUGCAUAUUCUAUGUUUCUAUUGAUUAUAUAUGGAUGUGUGGAUUGACAUAAGUAACAGAUGGUAUCAAUAAGUCACAAGGCUUUCUUUGUCCGAGAGCUCUGGAAUGUGGAUGUGGGGGUUUUGUCCUUAUAUGGCUAGAGUUAUAUGCUGACGUUAGUAUUGGCACUUCCUUAUAGUAAGAGAGGGACACGAGGUGGCUCUCAGUCUACUCUUGGCUUGGCUCUGUACAACGAUGUAACUCUCCCAUCAGAAGUCCAGCAAUUACCAUCUGCUGUUGAAUGUCCAUUAUCCUGUAACAUCAUUUGUUGUUUUAUGUAUCCGUAACUAAGAAUAAACCUGAAGAAACCGUAAGUCAGAUUGCGUAUUACUACUUUUCAAUAAUAUAGACAUAUAUUAUUGUGGCGAGCAUUUGGCCCAAGAAUAUAUAUACAAAAGACGUAUAUAUAUCAAUCAACUGAAGACAAGAAGAAAUUAAGAAAGAGUCUACAUGAACAUCCAUUCAUCUACAUUUUUUACAUUGGCUAGCCUGCCAGUCUUCUAUUCAAGUUUUGUUCCCACUUCAAGGGGGGAGAGAGAAGAAUCGAGUUACAAAGCUAUUUUGGAACUGGGAAAACAAACUUGAAGAGAAAAAAAGAAUCUAGACUGACUGUCAUAGAAGAACUGUGGUUUGUAAGAAAAAUAGAGUUUUCAAAUCAUAAAGACUGUACAAGACUAUUUUCUACAACUGAGACAAAAAGCACAAGAUACAACGUGAAUUCUAGAAGCAAGCACGUGGCAGACAUUGGCAAGCGUCCAAGCAAAGAACUGCGCAGCUGUGUGGAUGAAGCAACGAAAUAGACAGAAAUAACUGAUCUGGUGAGUAACAUGGAAUUCAUAAAUGAUAUUGCAGAGAAAAGUAAAUUGCAGUUUGCAUUUAAUAGCAGCUAUUCAGAUGCUGUAUUGUGGCAAUCUUUAUACACACAAUGUGAAAUUGCCAAUAGUGAAAUUGACAAGAAAUUGUUUGUUAAUAAGAAAAAACAAAAGAUCAGAAAUGUUAUGAAACUAGUCUGUACUUACAAUGCAGUGAUUUGUAAACGAAAUACAGGUAAAGACAAUUUAGAAUCAGCAGAAAAAGAAAUAGAUUUGAAUGGGUUAACAGAAGACAAAUCAGAUUUAAAUGAACAGUGUAACAAUGUAACAGAGAGAACAUUGUCAGAAACAGUCUGUGAAUUAGAGGAUAGAGAUGAACUAAGAAAUGAUUUUAGUUGCCAGUUUACAAAUGAAGUAAAGCAAGUGUGUGUUAAUACAAGAAAAGUAAAGGCACAGAAUCUAAUCCCAGAACUAACAGAUACUGAAAAUGUAUCCUCACUGAGUGAUUUGCAGAAAUGUAAAUUUCAAGACAGAACUGCAAAACUUAAUUUGAAAAUCCAUGAACAAUUAAUGAAAAUUGUGAAAUGUAUUCCAGUUUAUGACACGUCAGUGGAUGCAUUUACUAAUGCUGAAAUGUUUGAGUCUAAUUUAGACAAAUACAGCCUAAAUGACGAACAAAGGAAUAGAUUGUUUAAAAUAUGGCUGCCGACUCAAAUGGCAUGUAGACUGACCACGCUUGUAAAAUGUGAGGACAAUGAUGAAAUAAUAUAUGGAAAUAAGCAAGACAGAUUAACACAAUUAAUAAAAUUAACAACAGGGAAUGAUUUUGCAGACACUGAAAUGUUGGAAAAACUAAAACCACACAAGGGGGAGGAUAUAUUUAGUUUUCUUGUAAAAUUUGAAAAUGCAUAUAGACUUGUUGCUGAUUUUUCUGAAGAUCAGUUAAUUAAUGAAUUUGUGAAAAAAAUUCAAGAUCUAGAUCCAACUGCAAUUGUGUUAGCUAGAGAAAAAAGCACUUUGACAGAAGUAGCUUUGUUCUUGGAUAACUUAAGGAGGGAAACCAAUAAUGAAGGGGUUAAAAUGACUUGUGGAUUUAGGCAGAGAAAGAAGUGCAGAUGUUGCAGCCCUCGUCCCCCUCCUUCUUCUUCUUCUAGGACAGAGUGUAGAGUGAUACAGACAGCUGAGCCCCUCCCAAUUUAUUCAACUAAAAACUGUAGAGUUGAUAAUAAAAGGCAGAAUAUAACUCCUAAAGUUAUUUGUUUUUGGUGCAAUAAACAACAUUAUUUAAGAUCUUGCAGAUAUUUUAUCAGAGAUAUCAAAUCAAAAGCAAAUGAGAAAUUAAAUUUGUUGAUUGAAAAUUUUGACAGAGAAAAUACAUGUGGAGAUAAAUCAAUUAAAGCCUUUCCUUGUAAACUGAUAAUCAGACAAAUAAAAGCAAUUUUAGCUAAAUCAAAAUUAGGAGACAGACAAGCAAUGCAGUGCAACUCAGAAAGUUAUAAGAAUCAGAGAACUUCAAGAGAUAUGAUCAGUUUAGGGAAUGAGCAUGGAUAUGUGUUCCAACAGAUGUACACAGGCUGAUUCCAGAAUUAAGAACAGCACAAGAAUAGAGAUCUAUGUUAGUUUGUUGUUUUAAUGAAUUGUUAGUCUGAACUGUUUUUUCAUUGUUUUAGGUGUGUUAUAAGAAAGUAUUAGGUUAAUUAAUUGAAAUAAAAAUUUACAUCAAGUUUGCAAAUAUGGCAGAAUGAAAUACACUAAUGUAGCAGUUAGGAACAUGCAAUGUAUGUUAUAUUGGGUGUAUGCGAUUAUACAGUAACUCCAAUCAUUUUACAGAAGAAAAAACAAUGUUACUUCUGAGGUUGAUUUAAAAUCUUUGAUUUAAUUCAUGAGAAUGAGAUUUUAAUGUCAUGACUGAUAAUGGAUUACUAUAUUUUGCAAAGCCUGGACAUACAUAUGUUUUGAUUAUAUAGAAGACAAAAGUUUUGAUAGGAUAAAACCUAGAUUUACAAAUACAUUUGAUGUAGGAAACAAUAUAUGUUUUUUGUAGUUUGUUUCAUGUGACAAAAUGGUGCCAGUGUUAAGACAAAAUGGCUGCUAUUGCUAACGUAUAGUGGAAAACAAUAUUUAGUUGUAACAUCUGACAUGUGAUUAGGUUAUACCUCCAGAUUAUUAAACAGUUUAAAAGGGGGGUAUGAGUAAUAAAAAGUUUGAGAAUUGAGAAUUUACAUGUUCAGAAAGAUUUUAAUAUAAGGAAAUUUAAAGAUUAUACAUCACAUGGCAUAGAUGUAAUGACCACUAGAUGGUAGAUCUCAUGAGAGGAUAUGAGUAUGUUUUGUGUAGUCAAUAUGAUUCAAUGUUAAACUGUGUAAUAAUAAUGAGAUAUAAACAUUGUAAGCCAUUGUAUUGAUGCUGCACAUGUUAUUUGUUUUAAUGUAGGUAAAGCGUGACAGAUCCUUGUGGCAAUAAAUCAGGAAAGCAUUCCUUCAGACAACUGGACAUCGACUGUUGGAAAGAGACUUUUCAUCUGAUCGGCAAACUGUGAUGGAAGAUUCUACAGAGUUCAUUCGAUACAGAAGAUUAACAGACUUACAAAGAAAUAAAAGAUUGACACUAACAUACAUAUUAAUUCCUAAAUAUUAACAGAAAAGAAAACAGACAAUGAAAAAUUAUUGAACUGUUAUGAGUAUUAAUACCAAGAGACUAAUUAUAGCUAUAUAACACAUGGAGUAAAAGUAUGAUAGGAUAGUAUUAUGAAGAGAACUAUUACAUUAUUACCUAUACAUAGAAUGAGAAGUAUCAGAGGAAAAUAAAAUAUGAAGUUGAUAAAAUAAGGAUCAUGGUUACUUAAUUCUACAAAGAUUGAGUUCAAUAGUAUCUCAUAGAUUAACUAUAAUGAGUAAUUUGUUUAUAAUUGAGGUGAAGUAAAACAAACAAUGGUAACAUAAGGAAGAAAACUAAGGAAGGAUAAUUUAUAUUGAUUUAUAUUAAGUAAAGGUAUACAUUAAGAAUGCCUUGGAUAUAAGAGUUCAGAGAUCCAAGAGGAAUUGAAUUGAAUGGAAAGAGUAUAGUACACAAUUAUAUUUGACCAAAGUCUAUAAAGGUAUGGACUAGGGAGAAUAGGUUUCUGGAUAUGAUGAUAUCCAAUGAAUACGUUGUUUUAAGAUUUCCCUGAGUUUGUUAGACACAGACUAGGAAUAAGAGUUUCUGGGCAGCAUGACCCCAAGUUUAUUUUAUUUUAUUUUACUUUAGUCAGUUGAAGUGUACUAAGGAAUACGGAUUGGUCAGAAUAAAUGUUAGGGUAACAUUAGGACAAUCCUGCUUUUAACCCCUUAAAACCGCAGGACGUACAAUUACGCCCUCUAAUAGG